Molecule: transfer RNA, 56 nt
Filed under: Bos taurus (domestic cattle)
Lineage: Eukaryota; Metazoa; Chordata; Mammalia; Artiodactyla; Bovidae
Also listed under: 5 other names
Rfam family: tRNA
About the family: Transfer RNA (tRNA) molecules are approximately 80 nucleotides in length. Their secondary structure includes four short double-helical elements and three loops (D, anti-codon, and T loops). Further hydrogen bonds mediate the characteristic L-shaped molecular structure. tRNAs have two regions of fundamental functional importance: the anti-codon, which is responsible for specific mRNA codon recognition, and the 3' end, to which the tRNAs corresponding amino acid is attached (by aminoacyl-tRNA synthetases). tRNAs cope with the degeneracy of the genetic code in two manners: having more than one tRNA (with a specific anti-codon) for a particular amino acid; and 'wobble' base-pairing, i.e. permitting non-standard base-pairing at the 3rd anti-codon position.
Source: Rfam by way of RNAcentral
UGGCUCAGAGGUUAAAGCGUCUGCCUGGAAUGCAGGAGACCAGGGUUUGAUCCCUG